This 67-nucleotide transfer RNA is filed under the name Marmota monax (woodchuck). RNAcentral's name for it is "tRNA.Ala". The record is from RNAcentral. Lineage: Eukaryota; Metazoa; Chordata; Mammalia; Rodentia; Sciuridae.
GGUUGUGGCUCAGGGGUAGAGCACUUGCCUUGCAUGUGUGAGGCACUGGGUUCAAUUCUCAGUGCCG